This 931-nucleotide long non-coding RNA is filed under the name Carica papaya (papaya). RNAcentral's name for it is "long non-coding RNA (CPAP_LNC014526)". Lineage: Eukaryota; Viridiplantae; Streptophyta; Magnoliopsida; Brassicales; Caricaceae. The record is from RNAcentral.
UUGGUUUAGAAGGUGAACAAACUAUAUCUAACAACAAUAAUAAUAAUAAUAACACUCAUUCACCAACUCUCAUGUUAUAUAAACCCGAAAAUCUCCUUCAAUUUUCCAUACAAACCAACUUAUCAUCAAAGAUUUGAUUGAUUUCGAUAUCAUUCGUUCCGAAAAUCUUGCUUCUGAAUAAUUACAUUUGGCAAUCAUGGUCUCUUCUCGUAGUUUCUUUGUGUUAAUUUUAUUUAUCACUUUAUCAUGUUCAAAUAUGAAUCCAUGCUUCGCGGGCCGUCAUCUUCUCCAAAUACCACCACUUCCACCGAUGCCAAGUCUUCCUCGGCCUCAACCAAUUCUGCCACCAUUGCCUUCGAUGCCUAAUCUACCGCAGCCGAGUUUGCCUUCACUUCCUACAAUUCCCAACAAUCUCCCACAGCUGACAUUGCCUCCACUCCCCAGCAAUCUUCCUUCUCUCCCCACCAUCCCAACUACAAUUCCCUCUAUCCCACUCCUCUCACCUCCUCCUGCUACAACCAGUCCUUGAUUAACCUAUACACACACACACACACACACACACACGGAUAUACCUAUAAAUAUUGUUUCUCUUCUAUGCGUGACCUGCACUAGCUACCAGUUUGAGUAUUUUCUUUUGUAUUUUUCUUUAUCAUUUUUUAAAGUUGAGAUUAUAUAUUUAUGCCAUGUGUGAGCUUGGCAGCUGCUUUAUUGGCUUGCUAUUUAACCGUUGUACUUCAGUGUGUUUUUAAUUAUACUAUAUGGGCAUACUUGAUAUUAUAUAUAUACAUAUGGGUCUACUUUAUAAAUAUGCAUGCACUCAUAUUUUUCAUUUCUGCUUAGCUUCUUUUUUCUCCUGCAAUUUCCCUUUUCUGUGAUCUUCAAGAUUUUAAUACGAAGAAAGACUUGCAAAGGUUCCUAAUUUCCAACGAUC